RNAcentral lists this transfer RNA (65 nucleotides) under Cloacotaenia megalops. Its description in RNAcentral is "tRNA-Trp". The record is from RNAcentral. Lineage: Eukaryota; Metazoa; Platyhelminthes; Cestoda; Cyclophyllidea; Hymenolepididae.
AUGAAGUUAAGUUAUUCAGACUGUGUGUUUUCAAAACAUAUAGAGGGUUUAUUAUCCAUUUCAUG